This is a non-coding RNA of Paramuricea clavata, 206 nucleotides long. The record is from the annotation of a GenBank genome assembly. NCBI's taxonomy places the organism in Eukaryota, Metazoa, Cnidaria, Anthozoa, Malacalcyonacea, Plexauridae.
UAUUUAACAAUUAUUCCCCGAUAAUCACCAAGCCUGAGGCGAAUAAUUGUUUUAGUAUUUUUACACAAGUCUUUUGUGUUUUUGGGAUUGAAUAUAUAUUUUAAUUUCGCUUAUUUCUUUAUCAGUAACUUUCACAAAACAGCUAACCGCUGUUUUGAAAAUUUCGGUUUUGUUGUAUUCACCUGUAGGUGAAUAUAACGGCUUAC